RNAcentral lists this long non-coding RNA (8497 nucleotides) under Sorghum bicolor (sorghum). RNAcentral's name for it is "long non-coding RNA (SBIC_LNC012848)". The record is from RNAcentral. Lineage: Eukaryota; Viridiplantae; Streptophyta; Magnoliopsida; Poales; Poaceae.
CGUGGCACUAGAGUGUACUAUGGUAUUUAUACGCACACAGAUAAUCCGCAAGCGCACGGAUACCGUUGAAGCUUUUACCCGGUUAAAGGUUUUAUCGUAUCCACAGGGAAAUGGGAGAACCAACUACGCUCUAACUUAAUCCUAGAUAGAUAAGUAAAUGUAAAUAGGAAAGAUGGUAGAAUCGAAUAAGAACAAUAAUAAAGGUAAGAUAACAGUGAGUGAUAAUAUGGGAAUAGAGAGUAGAGCAAUUCUAGUAUAUGGGCGAUGGUAGCAGAAUAGAGAGGAUAACUAUGGUUUCUCUACUUCAAAGGGGUAUGUCUAUGUCUGGGACGAACCACGUGAUAAGAGUACACCACAAAGGAUGCUUAUCCAUAGGCCGAUAAACCCUACCCGUCCUGCUAACGAGAGGUGGACUACAGGGGACCAACGUAACUAUCACCUAUGCGGCCUACCACACGAUCCAGCUAGUCAGGGGAUUUCCACAAGUAAUCUAGGUCUAAGCACCACGCUUACACCUACACUACAACUCUAACCUAUAGGGUCCUAUAGAUUAGAAGUACUCAAAAGAGUUGUGAACCAGAACAUACAUAAUUAGUAAUUGCAUAAUGAAUUAGAAGUAGAUUACCAGAGUCAUCCCAUGAGCAAGCUUGAUUAGAGCUUGAUCAUGGCGAAGUACAACCGGAGGAAGAACCGACAGGCCGGCCUCUCCUCUAAUCCUCCUUCGCUCUCCAUCUCGCUACUAUCUAGAUCUACUCUAGUUUAGAGAAGAGAGGAGAGCUCUCAUCUCUAAACCCUAGCUUUUGCUCUGUCUAUGAAUAAUGAAUAAUGAUCAAGGGGUGCCUCCUCCAGGGGCCAGGGGGUCUGGUUUUAUAGUCGCCUCAAGUGAACCUGGGCCGUCGGAUCAAACCGACAUUGAUUGAACGGUUAUUCUUGAUCCUUUAGGUCGGUGGAGCAUAAUCCGCGAGAUUGAGCGUGAUUGGCCGAAAAAGGUGGGCGGGCGCCCUAAGGACUUGGGCGGCGCCCUGUCCCUGACUCUGUUCGGUCUCCGCUUCCUUCCCAUGGCUUCUGGAGUCUUCUAGAUGUAAGAUAAUUGCGCGGCACGUUGAUAUCUCUAUGUAAUCCCGACGUGUGGGCCUUUCUUCCUUAUUUCCUGAUAACCCCCUGCAGAAAUAGACAAACACCAAAACUCGUGGAAUUCUGUCAAAUAAAACCCUAAGUCUCGAUGUUGAUUUCAUUUGGAUCCUUUUCUUUGUUUAUUUGAUAGUAUAAUUUGAUACUUAAGGACCGUCAACAAACUCCCCCAAGCUUACCUCUUGCUCGUCCCUGAGCAAGGAUAGACUCAGCUAUGGAUCAUAAGUUGUUGCAAUAUCUUUAAAAAUUGACGGUACAUGUUGACGGUCCUUAAUGCUCACAUUUAACUAUCAACUAAUCAUGGAAAAGGAUCUAAAUAGAACCAACACCUAGACUUAGGGUUUUAUCUGACAGAAUUCCACGAGUUUUGGUGUUUGUCUAUUUCUGCAGGGGGUUAUCAGGAAAUACGGAAGAAAGGCCCACACGUCGGGUUUACAUAGAGAUAUUAACGUGCCGCGCAAUUUUCUACCAUCUAGAAGACUCCAGAAGCCAUGGGAAUGAACGGGAGGCCGAUCGGGCUCGGAGGCAGGGCGCCCGCCCAACUCUCCUGGGCGCCCGCCCAGCUACAGUGUCCAAUUCGGACCCGUUUCGCGUAUUAUGCUCCACCGACCUAAAGGAUCAAGGAAAACCAUGCGAUUAAUGUCGGUUUGAUCCGACGGCCCAGAUUCACUUGAAGGGACUAUAAAACCAGACCCCCUGGCCCAUGGAGAUCAUACCUCUUAUACAGAAUCAAAGCUAGGGUUUCAAUUCUUCAUCCAAGUAGAGAGGAUCCCUCUAGUUCUUCUAGUUCUAGUUCCUCUAGUUCUAGUUCUAGUUAGUUCUAGUUGUAAUCUAGAAAACAGGGAGAGAGAAGAGGAGAGCGGAGGAGGAGCCGGAUCUGUCGGAUCUUCCUCAACAUUGUACUUUCGCAGCAUCUGGUUCGUUCUUCAUCGUUCUCCAGGUUCUUCAAUUCAUAACUCCUGAGUUCUCUAAUUACCUUUAUUUACAUUCAAGUUAUUUAUUGGAUUCCCGCUUGCAUCAAGUGCUCUAAUCUUUGAAACAUUAGAGUAGUAAUUAAUAGAUUAGACGUGGUGUUUAGUCUUGCAAUUACCUGGAAUUGCACCCAAUCCCGCGGAUUGUUGUCGUAGCCUUAGUGUAGUGACAGCCCUAACGGUCGACGUAUUCCACCACGUUCGGAUCAGUGUUUGUAGGACCGUAGUCAGACCUUCCUAGCCCCCUUCUCAUCUCUUUCUGUGGUUGGUGCUCUGAUGUCCCGAUAUAGAUAAUCUUGAAGUAAUUCUUGAUUCUUAGAUCAACUAGAGAACUCUCAGGAAACUUCCUCUCUUCCCACCAAAAAUAAUCAUAUAGUUAUCCUUGGGCGAUCUUGGAUCUUAAUUAGUACACUCACGUUCUCUGUGGAAAAUCGAUACUCUGGAAUACUCCCGGGUGAAGGCUACAUCGGUAUCCAGGCGCUUGUGGAUUUUUCUGUUUGCGUUUAAAAUACCCAACAGUACACAUGCUUUUAAAUGAGGUCUCAUCUCUGAGUUAGAGUAAACUGUCAAGACUUAAAACUUACUUACUUUACCUUUCACCAUGGGACUUGUAACCGUCACUUCUGUCUUGAGUGGUUAAAAGAUAGAACAGUCCAGUCAAGUGCCAUGUCGCUUAUUCUUGAUCAGCUAUAGCUCUAGAGUUUUUUGCAGAUUUUCAAAUAAAACUCAGAGAUUCCUUUGUAUGACUCUCUCAUAUCUCUCUUUUGUGGUAUUUCUAGAUCCUUACCAAGGCAGUGAUGGUAUAUGCCUUCUCUCAAAAUAUGUGGUAUUUGUGGUAUAAGGGAUAGUGACAUUGUCUUCUCUCUCACCCUACUCUAAUAAGGCUUUAAUAUCUGGAGCUCAUAGGUGGGAGAUAAAAUAUACAUACUUACAAGACAUUUAUUGUAUAGUCAAACCAUGGAUCCAAAGAAACAAAUCAGUAAGCCAAAUCAAGAUGUGCAUGUGUGGCGAAUGAAUAGUGUAUGGUGAUGAUGGUGAUAACAAUGGUGAAAGUCUAAUUCUACUUUUGCUCUUUUGAGGGUAUACAUACCUUCCUUGCUUUUUGAAACUUUAUGAGGAGAAUGAGAUGCUCUUCUUUUUCUUUUCUCUCAGAUGGGUAUCCUGUACCCCUAAUUCUACUGUCGGACACUUGUCCAUUUUUACCUCUCGUCUCACUCUUUUUCUUUUCUUUCGAGGUUCCGGACACUUGCCCCUUUUUAUUUCCUCGUUUAUAUAUUUUUUUUCUUUUCUCUCUUUUUUUUUCUUCUUUUUUUUUCAGAGCACUCAUCUCUUAAGAUAAUAUAGCAAGUGGUAGUAGCAAGAUAACUCGAGCAUUUAUUUCACAAGGGAAAAACAUACAUGUUUUUGGAUAUUCUCUCCCGAAUUAGGAGUAGAAUAUUUUUAGGUGAUUCUGGAGAUGGAAAUGGAUGGAUAUAUGUGGAUGGUACUUCCGGAGUAGAAGUAGCAUAUAUAUGAGUGAACGUGCAAGUGAAUCUUGAUUUAACCACAUGACAAGCUCCUAAGGGUCUACCCAGCUUGACCACACUCAAUGCUCAUAAGCAGUAAAUAAUAAAUGUGUGGCUCAAAGUCUAGCGAGCAUGUAUAUAUGGCUGUGGUAGGAAUUUAAACUUUCAUCAUACAGGAACUCAUGUAUAUAUGGCUGUGGUAGGAAUUUAAACUUUCAUCAUACAGGAACUCAUCAUGCAACAUUUUAAAGAUUUUUCAAAGAUAAAAUUCUCCAGAAUUCUAGCAUCUCUAGGAACAGAUAAACAGCAGCUCAACCUUCCCAUAUCAUAUCCGUUAACAACUUAGAUUUCAGAUCAAGUUUUCAUCCCACAAGUUUAGAUCUAGAGCAAGCUUUAAAUUAUAACAGUUAUGUCUAAACUUGAGAGAGAACUUCAAAUUUGCAAAUUAGGCAGAGCAACUAUUCAUCAUAUCCAUGCUAGAGUUUUAUUAUUAAGAUUCAGAUUAGCAUAGCCACUUUAUUUACUAAGCAAAAGAUAUAUAUAUAAGCACAAAAUCUUUAUUUGGUUUCUCAUAGUUUAUGUAUUUUAAUAUUCUAAUAUAAUAUAAGUAUAAAGGUAGGUAGAAAUACUUAGCGAGAUAAAUGGGGGUGCUCUCCCACAAGCUGAAUUUUGACGUAAUUUCUCUUGAUGUAGCUAGCACGUGGCAGAGGUGUAUUUGAAAGUCAGCAGCAUUCUGACAGCGAUUAGAAUGUCCUCCGUCUGCUAGUCUUCUUGAUUCUUAAAUUUUGUGGAGCUCAAAUAGACAACAAAGCUUGUGGAACUAAUUAAGUGUUAGCAUAAAUAUCUAGCCUUCAUCACGUUGAGCUUCCUCAAUAAAUAUUACUCCCUGUUUUUAUAUUUUUAUUUUAUAAAGUAGAAAAGAAAUAUUUAUUUUAUUUUUAUGCCACCACAGUGAAGGUACUUAUGGGUUUUAUGCCACUCGUAUACUCACAUGGGGCUUAGUAUUUUUUUAACAUUUUUAUUUUCUUUUCAAGAUAGCAUGAUUAACUAAUAAUCUAUUUAAGGAAAGUAAAUAAUUAAAUGGAAAAGGGAAUGCAGAAAGGAUAAAUAUGGAUAACUACCAAUCUUACCUUUCGGCGAGGGUUCAAUGUUUUAAGUCUUCUUGUCAAGACUUCUCAUCGUGUUCAUUCUUCAGGUGCGGACCUUGACGUCUGCACCUUUUAAUACGGUGUCACCCAUGUUCUUCGUUUGCCCAGCAGUUCGAAGUGCGGUGUUAGCAGUAUCUUGCUCAGUGUGUUUGUGCUCGUAGUGUACCUGCUCAUAGAGACAAGGCAGAGAUCAAGUGCAUGGGCCCUGUUGGUGGAAAACACCAACAGAACCAAAAGUGUAUUUGUUCUUCUCUAACCUUAAGCAUAGUGAGCAAGACAAGUUGAUGGAUGAUAAGUUCAUGAGUGUAGCACUUAUAACAUUUGUCAGAUCAGAUUGCUCAACCUUAUGGAAAGAUAAUCUAUCUAUGUAUAUGUCUUUUUCUUUAUAUCUCUCAAUGAUUGAAUGUGUAACAUUUUAGCUCAUAUGAUUAUGAGUGUGGGAUCAUGGAGGUAGUACUAAGAACAAGGAUUAAAAGACUAAACAUGUUGAAUCAGUUGGGUUGGUUAAUCUAGAGUUGUAAAUCAUACACGUUUGUCUCUUUUAUUUAUAUGAACGCUAGAACCAAGGAGAAGCUUAUAAAAGUGAUAGUCAAGUACCUUAAGAUGUUACCUUGCUCGAAGAGUGAUGGUACAGUAUCAUCUUGUGGAAGCUUUCCUUUCUUAGCGGUUGUGCGUCGUGUUUGUGGCAGCCUCCAUGGAUCAUCUCUCUAUGAUGAAUGAGCUAUGUCCUUCUUGUGCAAAUUGUUAAACUUCAUGUGUCACUCUCUUCGUCUCUGAUGUGAGUUUAUCUCAGGACUUCCCAAAUCGAUAUUGAAAGUUUUUCUGCAGGGGUUAGUCCGACAAAAUAUACCAAUAUCUACUCAAGCAGUUUUUUUAGUUCAAUAACCAAACUAGACUCCAUGUCUAAUCAGAUUAAGGAAGGCUAUUUAACCUAAGCACCAUGCUUAAUUUAAAUGCCAAUGGAAGUAUGGCGAGUACUUCCAAACCAACACUUGCUAGUAAAUAGACAAAGGUAGCAUGACAGCGUUUAUAGAGAUCUACUCAAGUGGAGAUGAAGUAGUGUGAUUAGUAUUUAACAAAUUGAGCAUGUCUCAAAGGUAGGGACAACCAGCAUAGCAACAUGGCAAAGGAUGUUUUUAUGUAAACUACUCCCCCAAGCUUGAAUUUUGCAAAAUUCAAGUUUGGAUGAAUUUAAUUCAAUGUUGUAUGAUGAUUGGUUGGACAUACCUUGUGCUUGUCAUUCAUCCGAUCUUCUUGCUCCAAUCUUAGAAAGGUUAGUGACAAGAAUACCCGAAGGAAUAUUUUUUUUACAAUUAUCCUUAUAUGCUCAAUACACAAGGUAAUGUUGCAAAUAAUUAAAGGCUCAUGUUACGAUCUGAUCAAUGCUUAUUUUAAGACACUAAGCUUGUCCUUGGGAAACCAUCAGUUUAUGUUGGCGAAGUGGUUUCCCCUCCGACGCCAACCUAUAUCUAGAUCAACUCAACGAGAUCUGCAGUAUUUAUUAUAGACAUAUGCAUCGACAACCGCCCUUUUAAAGUUUCUAUAAAUAGAAAGGAAGAGGGGGUUGGAGAUCUCAAGUGUGGUGAUGUCAGAGAGACCAAUAGAUUGGGAAGAUGUUGCAUAUGAGCAUGGAGUAAACGAAGUGGCUAUGAAAUAAAUUCCAUGCUCAUUAAUGUUAUCUUCGUCUCUAAUCUGAAUGUUCGGAGUUUCUCCUGGAUUGGUCUCACCUAUGUCCUCUUCUGUAGUUGGAUGAAUCUCAUCUUCAAAGGGAGUCAAGAACUCACCAUUUGAAAUUGAGCCAAAGUCAGAACCCAUUAAGGCUUCUUCCUUAUCCAUCCAUUCUACACAUUCUAGCCAUUUAGAACUUGUGAUCAAAAUAGGGGAGGAGUUAGAAUUUUCUAUAUGGCUUAGCUCUCCUUCUAUGGCAUUACUUGACAUGCCAUCCUUAUGGUCUUCAUGACUCCUAUGGUUUGGUCGUCUUGGUGAAUUGUUAGGAUCAUCAUGAGACUGAAAAGGAGAGAGAUAAGAGGGAUCUCUAAGGUCAAGGAUGGAUUUAGAACUUGUGAACAUGGAAGGGGAGUAGAUAGAAUUGUCUAUAUGGUUUAGCUCUCCUUCACUUGAUAUGUCAUCCUCGACUUCUUCAUGAUAGGAACCAGGACAUUCUAUAAGAGAAACAUUAUUGCAAUGAUUUGAAUUAUCCCUGCUUGAAGGUCUCUUAUAGAACCAGAAGUCUAAACCAUCAGCAUCUAAAAGAUUUAAGGUCGGAAUUCCUUCCUCCCUUGGAGAAUUUUGGGGUAUUGAUGGUUUAGGAUCGAUAGCUAAAGUUUGGGAUUGAAGUGGUUGUGAUCUGGCUAUCGACACUUCUUCUUCUUGUCUAGGAACUGGUUCUUUCUCUUUCUCAGGGAUAUAAAAGCUAGGAGACUUUCCGCUCAUUAAAUCAAUCAAAUUCCAAGCUUCACUAGCGGAUAGGUGGUGGAAAGAUCCUCCAGAGGCCGCAUGAAGGGUUUGCUUACUUUUCCUAAUAAGGCCCUCAAAAAAGUGAAUUAGAAGAACUUCUUCUGGAAUAGAAAGUUUUGGGCCAGUGAGAGUAAGGUUAAUAAAGCGGUCCCAUGAUUUGCCAAGAGAUUCUUCUUCCAGUUGUCUAAAAGAAAGAAUCUCACGCCGAAGUUCCACCACUUUGGGGAUUGGAAAAUAUUUAGAAAGAAAACUACUAUAUAACUCCUUCCAAUCUCCAUGAACACUCCCUACUUUGAGUUUAUACCAAUGUCUAGCUUUUCCCGUUAAAGAGAACGGAAAGAGCUUCCAUUUAAGGGUCUCAUCGGACAUGCCUUAUAUGCGAAGGAGGUCACAGACUCGAUAAAACUCUCUUAGGUGUGUGUAUGGGUUUUCCUCACCUUUUCUUGAGAAAGGUUGUUUUUGAAUAAAUUCUAUGUAUUCGGGGUCUAUCUCAAAACUAGAUGCUAUGAUAGGCUUUGAAGAUUUUGGUGGUUCGAGAUGUGUGCCCAUAGGUCUAUGAAAUUCAUAGAUAGACAUGUUUGAAUUCAUAAUAGACCAGAAAUCAAGGAUUAGAUAAGAAGAAAGAAUAGCAGAGAUGAGGUAAAGGAUAAAAGGAAAAUAUUUUUUUAUUUAUUUAUUUUUUAUAAAAUGAUUAUCUAGUUCGUAGUCAACUCAGCAACCGUUUCCCCGGCAACGGCGCCAAAAAUGCUUGUUGACACUUGCUAACACCACUUGAAUACUAGGUUGUCAUCCCCAGCGUGGCACUAGAGUGUACUAUUGUAUUUAUACGCACACAGAUAAUCCGCAAGCGCACGGAUACCGUUGAAGCUUUUACCCGGUUAAAGGUUUUAUCGUAUCCACAGGGAAACGGGAGAACCAACUACGCUCUAACUUAAUCCUAGAUAGAUAAGUAAAUGUAAAUAGGAAAGAUGGUAGAAUCGAAUAAGAACAAUAUUAAAGGUAAGAUAACAGUGAGUGAUAAUAUGGGAAUAGAGAGUAGAGCAAUUCUAGUAUAUGGGCGAUGGUAGCAGAAUAGAGAGGACUAUGGUUUCUCUACUUCAAAGGGGUAUGUCUAUGUCUGGGAUGAACCACGUGAUAAGAGUACACCAGAAAGGAUGCUUAUCCAUAGGCCGAUAAACCCUACCUGUCCUGCUAACGAGAGGUGGACUACAGGGGACCAACGUAACUGUCACCUACGCGGCCUACCACACGAUCCAGCUAGUCAGGGGAUAUCCACAAGUAAUCU